This 119-nucleotide ribosomal RNA is filed under the name Pteropus alecto (black flying fox). The record is from RNAcentral. Lineage: Eukaryota; Metazoa; Chordata; Mammalia; Chiroptera; Pteropodidae.
AUCUAGGGUCAUGCUACCCUGAACAAACCCAAUCCUGUCUGAUCUUGGAAGCUAAGCAGGGUCAGGCCUGGUUAGUACUUGGAUGGAAGACCACCUAGGAAGCCUGGGUGCUGUAGGCA